CACAGCUACUAGAAGGCAAGAAUAGAAGACCUUCCUCAGAGCCACCUGCCGACCUGAGCACCUUCAGUGCCCGCCGUGAUGUUGAAAAAGCUACCAAGAAGUCUGGAUGGAACAUAAUAGAAUUAUUUCAACUAAUAUAUUAUCUUCAUGAAGGUCAAUUCUGAGCACAUAUGGAACAGCUUAUGAUGCUGAACUGCAAACCACAGAGAAUGAGAUAUUGGCAAAGGAGAUGCUAUAGAAAGAACAACAACAAAAAAAAAUCCUGAUAGAUUCCUUAAUCAUAUAAGUCACUGGUGAACAAUAAAGCACUGUUAAGAUUGCUU
Herpailurus yagouaroundi (jaguarundi) is the source of this 323-nucleotide long non-coding RNA. RefSeq lists it as uncharacterized. The transcript has 3 exons. The record is from RefSeq and is a predicted model, not a curated record. Lineage: Eukaryota; Metazoa; Chordata; Mammalia; Carnivora; Felidae.